GGCAGCACGGGUGAGUAGACGCGUGGGAACCUGCCUUAUAGGUGGGGGAUAACACCUCAGAAAUUGCUGCUAAUACCGCAUAAUGCUCUUCGGACCAAAGUGGGGGAUCCUUAAGACCUCGCGCUAUUAGAUGGGCCCGCGUUGGAUUAGCUAGUUGGUGGGGUAAAGGCUCUACCAAGGCGACGAUCCGUAGCUGGUCUGAGAGGAUGAUCAGCCACACUGGGACUGAGACACGGCCCACACUCCUACGGGAGGCAGCAGUGGGGAAUAUUGGACAAUGGGCGAAAGCCUGAUCCAGCAAUGCCGCGUGAGUGAAGAAGGCCUUCGGGUUGUAAAGCUCUUU
This 343-nucleotide ribosomal RNA is filed under the name uncultured Gammaproteobacteria bacterium. RNAcentral's name for it is "bacterial SSU rRNA". It matches the Rfam family "Bacterial small subunit ribosomal RNA", at positions 96 to 436 of the family's 1533-position model. Lineage: Bacteria; Pseudomonadati; Pseudomonadota; Gammaproteobacteria. The record is from RNAcentral.